UUGGGAAUCUUGGACAAUGGGGGAAACCCUGAUCCAGCCAUGCCGCGUGAGUGAUGAAGGCCUUAGGGUUGUAAAGCUCUUUCGCACGCGACGAUAAUGACGGUAGCGUGAGAAGAAGCCCCGGCUAACUUCGUGCCAGCAGCCGCGGUAAUACGAAGGGGGCUAGCGUUGUUCGGAAUUACUGGGCGUAAAGCGCGCGCAGGCGGGUCAUCAAGUCAGAGGUGAAAGCCCGGAGCUUAACUCCGGAAUAGCCCUUGAAACUGUUGAUCUUGAGUACGGGAGAGGUGAGUGGAAUUCCCAGUGUAGAGGUGAAAUUCGUAGAUAUUGGGAAGAACACCAGUGGCGAAGGCGGCUCACUGGCCCGUUACUGACGCUCAGGCGCGAUAGCGUGGGGAUCAAACA
This 402-nucleotide ribosomal RNA is filed under the name uncultured bacterium. Its description in RNAcentral is "bacterial SSU rRNA". It matches the Rfam family "Bacterial small subunit ribosomal RNA", at positions 355 to 774 of the family's 1533-position model. The record is from RNAcentral.